GAAGGUAUAGCUCAGUGGUAGAGCAUUUGCUUAGCAUGCAUUAGGUGUGGGUUCAAUCCCCAGUACCUCCA
Molecule: transfer RNA, 71 nt
Filed under: Camelus ferus (Wild Bactrian camel)
Lineage: Eukaryota; Metazoa; Chordata; Mammalia; Artiodactyla; Camelidae
Rfam family: tRNA
About the family: Transfer RNA (tRNA) molecules are approximately 80 nucleotides in length.
Source: Rfam by way of RNAcentral